UGUUCUGCCACAAGACCUGUCUCUAUGCACUCUCCCAAACCCUGAGCGAGCUGCGUUGCCUGCUCAGGGAGACCAUGAUAUCUCACACAUUGCAGCAACCCCCUUCAACCAGAGGGAGGAAGAAUUGCAGAGUGGCAACCCCCACUGCUGCUACAAGAUGAGCUUUGUCUCCAGAUAUUUAGAAAUGCCAUACAGAAAUGAAGAAUCAAGGAUUUCAUCAAGCAUAAUGAUGAAUCUUUAUGGGGCCUGUCGUGGAAGAGAAUUUCAUCUUACUGUCAUGAGAAAAUUACUUCCAGCUCUUUCAGAUGUCAGAAUCCUGUCAUUUCUGCAGGUGUGGCCCAUUGUGACUCAGGAUAUGAGAUGAGGCUUUGGAUUUUUAUUGUCACUUUCUUUUCUUUGAAGUAUCUAUGUGCACACCUCCCCUCCCCGCUCUACCUCUGUAUGCACCUGUGUCACAGCGAGUAUUGUUACCUAAUUGCUUUGAUGCCAAAGAUGAGCUAUUUUACUCUCUUAGGUUCUACUUGUAGAGAAGAUAAUCCCACAACAAAACUUUUGCUAUCCA
Non-coding RNA from Microcebus murinus (gray mouse lemur), 562 nucleotides. The record is from RefSeq and is a predicted model, not a curated record. NCBI's taxonomy places the organism in Eukaryota, Metazoa, Chordata, Mammalia, Primates, Cheirogaleidae.